UACGAAGGGGGCUAGCGUUGUUCGGAAUUACUGGGCGUAAAGCGCACGUAGGCGGAUUGUUAAGUCAGGGGUGAAAUCCCGGGGCUCAACCUCGGAACUGCUUUUGAUACUGGCAAUCUGGAGUCCGGAAGAGGUGGGUGGAAUUCCUAGUGUAGAGGUGAAAUUCGUAGAUAUUAGGAAGAACACCAGUGGCGAAGGCGGCCCACUGGUCCGGUACUGACGCUGAGGUUCGAAAGCGUGGGGAGCAAACAGG
RNAcentral lists this ribosomal RNA (253 nucleotides) under uncultured bacterium. Its description in RNAcentral is "partial 16S ribosomal RNA". It matches the Rfam family "Bacterial small subunit ribosomal RNA", at positions 524 to 776 of the family's 1533-position model. The record is from RNAcentral.